AUGAACGCUGGCGGCGUGCCUAAUCCAUGCAAGUCGAGCGAACAGAUGAGGAGCUUGCUCCUCUGACGUUAGCGGCGGACGGGUGAGUAACACGUGGAUAACCUACCUAUAAGACUGGGAUAACUUCGGGAAACCGGAGCUAAUACCGGAUAAUAUAUUGAACCGCAUGGUUCCAUAGUGAAAGACGGUUUUGCUGUCACUUAUAGAUGGAUCCGCGCCGCAUUAGCUAGUUGGUAAGGUAACGGCUUACCAAGGCAACGAUGCGUAGCCGACCUGAGAGGGUGAUCGGCCACACUGGAACUGAGACACGGUCCAGACUCCUACGGGAGGCAGCAGUAGGGAAUCUUCCGCAAUGGGCGAAAGCCUGACGGAGCAACGCCGCGUGAGUGAUGAAGGUCUUCGGAUCGUAAAACUCUGUUAUUAGGGAAGAACAAAUGUGUAAGUAACUAUGCACGUCUUGACGGUACCUAAUCAGAAAGCCACGGCUAACUACGUG
Molecule: ribosomal RNA, 496 nt
Filed under: uncultured bacterium
Lineage: Bacteria
Description: partial 16S ribosomal RNA
Rfam family: Bacterial small subunit ribosomal RNA
Source: RNAcentral